This is a long non-coding RNA of Fundulus heteroclitus (mummichog), 293 nucleotides long. RefSeq lists it as uncharacterized. The record is from RefSeq and is a predicted model, not a curated record. Lineage: Eukaryota; Metazoa; Chordata; Actinopteri; Cyprinodontiformes; Fundulidae. The transcript is spliced from 3 exons.
GGAGGAGGUAAGUGCAACUGUGCGGAAGCCUUCCACCACACUUCCAGCAGCUUGAAAGGGAUGAGGGGAAUCCUCAGUGCUGCUUGAGAAGCAGGAUAACUAAAGCAAAGAGAAGCAAUGGCAAGGAGGAAGCAGGACCAUCAGGUACAGAAAGGACCGUGCAUCCAACCACUUUGGUAGAGGCCUCCUCUUCUUCUUCAAGUGACAACAGCGCAGCAGAAGAUGUGGAGUAUCAGCCACCUGCCCAUCGUCUACAGACUGCUCCAAGCCCCGUGAAGAGCACGGUUGCCUCU